Molecule: RNA transcript, 2584 nt
Organism: Salmo salar (Atlantic salmon)
Lineage: Eukaryota; Metazoa; Chordata; Actinopteri; Salmoniformes; Salmonidae
Gene name: G/T mismatch-specific thymine DNA glycosylase
Source: RefSeq, a predicted model, not a curated record
GGGGGGGGGGAGUGUGGCUUGGGCUAUGUAUAUAUUUUUUGCAGUUCAUAUUAUAUUAGCAUAAAUCCCUGAUGUCAAUAUAAAUGUUUGUUAUACAUGCACUAAACGUAUUAUUUCAAGAGAAGAACGUUUUACUUUUUCCCCCCUAUUAAUCAUGUUGGUAUAUUCCCAUGUCAAAGUUGACGUGCGUCUCUUUCUUUGUUGCUUGCUAGCAAGUCCAAAGGGAAAUUGAUAGAGUACAUUCGUUUUCAAGAAAGAACAAAACCCCACAUUCGACCAUAUCUGUAAGAGGAUUCAGUCUACUCAACAGCUUCAGGCUCUGCAGGGGGAGUAGCCGGGCAUCAACCACCAUCACAGUCCUCACCCUCACUACACAGAGGGACCAAGACAGAGGGUCAUGGCUCAUAUGGUUGUCAGUCAUGAGCUCAUGGCUCAGCAAGAGCCCGCGAACAUAGCGAAAGCUCCAGCAAAAAAGCGAGGGAGAACGGCACAACCAAAGGAACCCAAGCCACCCAAAAUGCCCAAGGCCAAACCGGGACCCAAGGCCAAACCGGGACCCAAGGCCAAACCGGGACCCAAGGCCAAACCUGGACCCAAGCCCAAGAAAGGCAAGGAUGGUCAAGAGGCAGACGGCACGCAGGAGAAAAUAGACAAGACCUUCAAGAAGGUCAAGAAGAAAAGGGACCGCUUCAAAGGCAUGACUGAGGACGAGGUCAUGAGUAGAACUCUGACCGACAUCCUUGACUACAACCUGGACUAUGUUAUCAUUGGAAUCAACCCAGGUCUCGUGGCAGCCUAUAUUGGACGAUGGUUCCCUGGCCAUGGAAACCAUUUCUGGAAGUGCCUGUUCUUGUCCGGAUUCACUGAUGAGCAGCUCAACCACAUGAGCGACACCAGCCUGCCAGAGAAAUAUAAGAUCGGCUUCACCAACAUGGUGGCAAGGACAACGCCUGGAAGCAAGGACCUGUCAACCAAAGAGCUACGCGAGGGCGCCUUAAUUCUUGUUGAGAAGCUGAAAAAGUACAAGCCCCUCAUAGCUGUUUUCAAUGGAAAAUGUAUCUAUGAAAUGUUCUGCAGAGAGAUGUUUGGUAAAAAGCCCAAGAAGCUUGACUUUGGUCUGCAGCCACACAAGAUACCGGACUGUGAAGUGGCAUUGUAUCUGAUGCCCUCGUCGAGUGCCCGCUGCGCCCAGUUUCCCCGUGCCCAGGACAAAGUGCACUUCUACAUCAAGCUGAGGGAAUUGAGGGACCAGCUCAAGGGCGUGGCCCGAUCUGACGAGAUUCAGGAGCUGGAGUACAGCUUUGACCUGGGACUGGCCAAAGAGGAUGCUAAGAGGAUGGCGAUCAAGGAAGAGGCGUACGACCCAGGCUACGAGGCCGCCUUCGGCGGAGCGUAUGGCGAGGGCGGGCCAGGGCCUGAGGAGGGCCAGAGCAACGGUCACUAACUUCUCGUUGGCUGGAAACACAGGUCAGCACCAUACAAAUAGAAUGAGAGACGCUGCCGAGAAGGCGAACACUUACCAGCCUCCUACGGCCGCCACCACCACAGAAGGACAACUCCCAGACAGACCGUGGAUGAAGCAGUCUUUCACUGAUCAGAUUAGACAUUGGUGGCUCUAAAGAACCACAGGCAUGGGUGGGCAAUGUAUAAGAAAGGGUAAAUGGCUCCUAACGAGCCCUAUCUAGACGUGCACAAACCUCAAUCCUGCACGUUCUUUGCCCUCCCUUCAACAAGAAGCUGCACCUCCGUUUGAAGACAGAAAUGAUAGUUUUUAGUAUUUUGUAUUUUUUGUCAUUUUGGAAUAUACACUAGACUAGUUGAUAGAUGGAAUUGUCUACAUUUAUUAUUUUUAAAGUAUUUGUGGAAAAUUAGCUUUUUAUCUGGUUUUGUGUGUGUUGCCCACAAGGCAGUCUUUUUUAAAAUAUGUGAAAUCAGGGACUUGACACUUUGUUUUAAUACCGUACUUUGCCACAGGCUGGCACAGUAGGUGUAAGCAAAGCAUGCAUACUGUAUUGGUUACUGCUCUGACAGUACAAAUGGCUCUAAAUCAAACUUUUACACACGUGUCAGAGUCCCAAAUAAACCUGUGAACACAUACAGUAAGAUGAUACUGUAAGUAAUGCAUUGUGAAGUUUAAGAUUAGCUAGUACUCUACUUUUAUAAAUUCUGUACCUUGAGGAGAACGAACUAGACACAUGGUCAAAAAGUGAUUCCAUGGAGGGAUGUUUUAGUAAUGUCUUCACAAGCCUUUUAUCAUGGAGUUGCAAUACUCAAGAUGGGUGCUAUAUAUUUUUUAUUUUACUUUCUUAUGUUUAGUAUGUUUCUGAAAAUGUUGUUUAUAAAAUUAUGGGGAUUUUCUAUUUUACUUGACUUGUUUUUUACUUUGCAGCCUGGGAAAGAUACAGUAUCAGGUAGCUGUGUUGGUAAUAUUGUUUUAUAAGAGUUCUGAAGGUGUGUUUGUUGAAAACCUUACCUCUAGCCUUCAUUCUGUUAGCAUACCAAGAAAUUGUCUUCUGUUGCAUCCUGAGUGACUAAACCCUGGGACGUGUUCAUAAAUAAAAAAAAUAAAAACGUUUUUAAAUUA